GGACCCGCACAAGUAGUGGAGCAUGUGGUUUAAUUCGAAGAUACGCGCAGAACCUUACCAACACUUGACAUGUUCGUCGCGACUUUAAGAGAUUAAAGUUUUCGGUUCGGCCGGACGAAACACAGGUGCUGCAUGGCUGUCGUCAGCUCGUGUCGUGAGAUGUUGGUUAAGUCCCGCAACGAGCGCAACCCUCACUUUUAGUUGCCAUCAUUAAGUUGGGCACUCUGAAAGAACUGCCAGUGAUAAGCUGGAGGAAGGUGGGGAUGACGUCAAGUCCUCAUGGCCCUUACGUGUUGGGCUACACACGUGCUACAAUGGUAUCUACAACGAGUCGCAAUACCGCGAGGUGGAG
RNAcentral lists this ribosomal RNA (352 nucleotides) under uncultured bacterium. RNAcentral's name for it is "bacterial SSU rRNA". It matches the Rfam family "Bacterial small subunit ribosomal RNA", at positions 917 to 1267 of the family's 1533-position model. The record is from RNAcentral.